AUUGAACGCUGGCGGCAGGCCUAACACAUGCAAGUCGAGCGGUAACACAAGGGAGCUUGCUCCUGAGGUGACGAGCGGCGGACGGGUGAGUAAUGCCUAGGUAUCUGCCCAGUCGAGGGGGAUAACAGUUGGAAACGACUGCUAAUACCGCAUACGCCCUACGGGGGAAAGGAGGGGACCUUCGGGCCUUCCGCGAUUGGAUGAACCUAGGUGGGAUUAGCUAGUUGGUGAGGUAAUGGCUCACCAAGGCGACGAUCCCUAGCUGGUCUGAGAGGAUGAUCAGCCACACUGGAACUGAGACACGGUCCAGACUCCUACGGGAGGCAGCAGUGGGGAAUAUUGCACAAUGGGCGAAAGCCUGAUGCAGCCAUGCCGCGUGUGUGAAGAAGGCCUUCGGGUUGUAAAGCACUUUCAGCGAGGAGGAAAGGUUAAGUCUUAAUACGGCUUAGCUGUGACGUUACUCGCAGAAGAAGCACCGGCUAACUUCGUGCCAGCAGCCGCGGUAAUACGAGGGGUGCAAGCGUUAAUCGGAAUUACUGGGCGUAAAGCGUACGCAGGCGGUUUGUUAAGCAAGAUGUGAAAGCCCCGGGCUCAACCUGGGAACUGCAUUUUGAACUGGCAAACUAGAAUCCUGUAGAGGGGGGUAGAAUUUCA
Molecule: ribosomal RNA, 654 nt
Filed under: uncultured Vibrionaceae bacterium
Lineage: Bacteria; Pseudomonadati; Pseudomonadota; Gammaproteobacteria; Vibrionales; Vibrionaceae
Description: bacterial SSU rRNA
Rfam family: Bacterial small subunit ribosomal RNA
Source: RNAcentral